This 815-nucleotide ribosomal RNA is filed under the name Bacillus sp. (in: firmicutes). RNAcentral describes it as "bacterial SSU rRNA". It matches the Rfam family "Bacterial small subunit ribosomal RNA", at positions 73 to 872 of the family's 1533-position model. Lineage: Bacteria; Bacillati; Bacillota; Bacilli; Caryophanales; Bacillaceae. The record is from RNAcentral.
AGGGAGCUUGCUCCCGGAUGUUAGCGGCGGACGGGUGAGUAACACGUGGGUAACCUGCCUGUAAGACUGGGAUAACUCCGGGAAACCGGAGCUAAUACCGGAUAGUUCCUUGAACCGCAUGGUUCAAGGAUGAAAGACGGUUUCGGCUGUCACUUACAGAUGGACCCGCGGCGCAUUAGCUAGUUGGUGGGGUAAUGGCUCACCAAGGCGACGAUGCGUAGCCGACCUGAGAGGGUGAUCGGCCACACUGGGACUGAGACACGGCCCAGACUCCUACGGGAGGCAGCAGUAGGGAAUCUUCCGCAAUGGACGAAAGUCUGACGGAGCAACGCCGCGUGAGUGAUGAAGGUUUUCGGAUCGUAAAGCUCUGUUGUUAGGGAAGAACAAGUGCGAGAGUAACUGCUCGCACCAUGACGGUACCUAACCAGAAAGCCACGGCUAACUACGUGCCAGCAGCCGCGGUAAUACGUAGGUGGCAAGCGUUGUCCGGAAUUAUUGGGCGUAAAGGGCUCGCAGGCGGUUUCUUAAGUCUGAUGUGAAAGCCCCCGGCUCAACCGGGGAGGGUCAUUGGAAACUGGGAAACUUGAGUGCAGAAGAGGAGAGUGGAAUUCCACGUGUAGCGGUGAAAUGCGUAGAGAUGUGGAGGAACACCAGUGGCGAAGGCGACUCUCUGGUCUGUAACUGACGCUGAGGAGCGAAAGCGUGGGGAGCGAACAGGAUUAGAUACCCUGGUAGUCCACGCCGUAAACGAUGAGUGCUAAGUGUUAGGGGGUUUCCGCCCCUUAGUGCUGCAGCUAACGCAUUAAGCACUCCGC